AUGGUACAGUUCCCCACAUCUUCUGAUGAUAUGGGGGAAGUGAUUCCUACUCCUCCUCUUAUUCCAGAAGCUGGUCUAAGACUUAGUGUGAGGACUAUGCAGAAUAUGGAGGCCAAGGUGCAGGAUAAAGCUACUGCUAUCUCCAAAAAAAGAAAUCUGGAAGGUAAUGAGCCGACCCAUAACUCUUUUAAAGUUUUGUCUAAUCAUGAGAUGAUGCUUAGAGCAACUAAAAUGGGAGUUUUGAUCCCUGAUAAUAAUUUUUCUAGUAUUGAUAUCUUAAGAGAGUUGGAUAGAAUAAGAAGCGAGGGGGAAAAACAGAUACUAUAUCUGAAAAAGGUGUAG
Molecule: ribosomal RNA, 342 nt
Filed under: Triticum aestivum (bread wheat)
Lineage: Eukaryota; Viridiplantae; Streptophyta; Magnoliopsida; Poales; Poaceae
Description: partial small subunit ribosomal RNA
Source: RNAcentral